UAUUGUCUCAGGCCUAAUCUUUAGGUCUUUGAUCCAUUUUGAGUUAAGGCAGGGAUACUUUUUAAAAGCAUCCAGAUGAUUCUACCGCAGCCAGGUUGAAAACUCCAAUAUAUAAGACAGUCUCCAAGCUUAACUACACUACCCAAGGUCAGCUGCUAGUAAAUGGUGGAGCUGGGCUCUGAAUUCAAAUCCGUAUGGGUCCAGAGUUUGGUUCAAUCAUCACCAUCACUUUGACCACUACUUCUACCAUUUCCACUCCAACAUCUCCUUACAUUUGAAGGAGUUUUACAACUUACACAGCAUAUUCAAAGACAUAGGAAAAUAAAGGUUCUCCAGGAAGCAUAUCUUACGAAAACUAUUGCUUUCAAGAAAUAUUUCAUGACUUCUUAAAUAAAGUCUUCUUCCUUUCCUCCUCUUCCUUUUUCUUUUUAAAGGUUUGGCCUCUAGAAAGUAUUCCCAGUAUAAUGGCAAAACAUUCAGUUUGCCUAUGAGCUUAUAAAUCGAAGUGGUUCUUCGGGGCAAACAAAAAAUCUUUUCAUCUAAAAUCUUAAUUGAGACCAAUUCAGUGCCCUGGGAAUGAGUUCCAGUGUUUAGCUCAGGUUUCUGGCACUGAGCACUGGACCCUGGCCUCAAGCCUGAACUGGGUCACCUUACAGCUGCACCUCAGGGCUGCUUGCCAAGAAGCUAGGCUCAUGGCAGCACUACCCUAUGACUUAACCCCAGAACACUGAGCUUCGAUACCCAACCUGGCUGAAAGCAAUCCACAUGACUACAACUCCAUUUAGUAAACAACUUACAGGAACACCUCGUGUAGCAUUAUGGCACCCUCUGACAUUUCUGGGAGAAAAGAGAACUAAUUUUCAUUAAUUUGUCUAGGGGCAGAGAAGGGGGUUUCUCACAAUUUAAUGUACAGCCAGAAAGUCGUGGAUAACAUAGAAGGGGAAAUGUCUGUCACUUCAAUUUGUAGACAAGUUCGUAGCAACUCUUUCAAAAAGGGAGGAGACUAGAGACCAACGAUCCUGGCCAAGAGAGAUAAGAAAGCCAAGGCCCAGAGAAAUUAAGUGAUUUCUCCAGGAUUCACAGGCAGGAUGCUGCCACAGCAUGCCUGACAGCAGUGCUAGGUCUGCACCUGGGAUCCAAACCUGCGAAUGCUGGGCCCUGAAGCGAGCAUGUGAACUUAACCACUAUGCCACUAGGCUGGCCUCAAUAAUUUGCAUUUUUGACAAGUUCUCAGGCAAGGAUAAUGCUGCUGGUUCCAGGACCAUACUGUGAGAACUUCCCUAAGCUACUUUUGUGUGUUUCUGGGCCUGAUAUCUUAAAUUUGGACUCAACUUUAUCAGCAGUUAGAAAUUCAGAGAUCUAGAAGGAGCUAUCUUUGAAGUUACUGGAGAAGUUACUGAUGCAGAAGACACUUCUGUGGGCCUAGAGGUUCCUUUGUAGGAUCACCUGACAACUCCAGUUCCUCGGAUUUUAUUUCUAUUCCUCUUAAGCUACUCUCUUCAUGCAGGUUCUUCCCUGAGUUACGCUAGUUGGCAGGACAACUUGUCCUCUGGCACUCUCAGCACCACCAGUGCCUCAAACAUCACCACAGUCUCAAUUAGGGGUUUUUUAUUGUAAGCCCUAGAAACCAAUUUGGGCCAACUAAAGCAAAACCAAGAAUUUAUCAGGGAGCUCACACAAUCAAUGUGAAGGCUGGCAAACCAUGCUCCAAAAAAGAAAAGAAUCAGAAAAGAGACUACUUGACACUAGGAGCAUCACCUCUAAGUGUGAAGAGGUAAACAGUGUUUCUUCUGUUCUUGAGUCCCUCUGUUCAAGAUUCAAUUCCAAAUGAGUGUGCCUACCCAUCCCUUAGUUGUACCAGGGCUGCGAAAGAAAGGAUUAUGGUGGAAGUAAGGACUCCUCUUCUUUCAUACGGACCCUCAUCAUCAAGUGGGUGGAUUACUACAACUACAACCUCUUAACUGGUUUUCUUGCUCCUAAUUUAAUCUCCAAUUC
Long non-coding RNA from Equus asinus (donkey), 1995 nucleotides. NCBI's taxonomy places the organism in Eukaryota, Metazoa, Chordata, Mammalia, Perissodactyla, Equidae. The record is from Ensembl.